This 785-nucleotide ribosomal RNA is filed under the name uncultured Glomus. Its description in RNAcentral is "SSU rRNA". It matches the Rfam family "Eukaryotic small subunit ribosomal RNA", at positions 325 to 1111 of the family's 1831-position model. Lineage: Eukaryota; Fungi; Glomeromycota; Glomeromycetes; Glomerales; Glomeraceae. The record is from RNAcentral.
AUGGUAGGAUAGAGGCCUACCAUGGUGGUAACGGGUAACGGGGUGUUAGGGCACGACACCGGAGAGGGAGCCUGAGAAACGGCUACCACAUCCAAGGAUGGCAGCAGGCGCGCAAAUUACCCAAUCCCGACACGGGGAGGUAGUGACAAUAAAUAACAAUACGGGGUUCUUUAGGAUCUCGUAAUUGGAAUGAGUACAAUUUAAAUCUCUUAACGAGGAACAAUUGGAGGGCAAGUCUGGUGCCAGCAGCCGCGGUAAUUCCAGCUCCAAUAGCGUAUAUUAAAGUUGUUGCAGUUAAAAAGCUUGUAGUUGAAUUUNGGGGUCAGUAGGUCGGUCGUGCCACUGGUAUGAACUGGUUUUACUGAUUCCUCCCUCUUGAAGAACUGUAAUGCCAUUAAUUUGGUGUUGCAGGGAAUCAGGACUGUUACUUUGAAAAAAUUAGAGUGUUUAAAGCAGGCUUUAGCUUGAAUACAUUAGCAUGGAAUAAUGAAAUAGGACGUUUGAUCCUAUUUUGUUGGUUUCUAGGAUUGACGUAAUGAUUAAUAGGGAUAGUUGGGGGCAUUAGUAUUCAAUUGUCAGAGGUGAAAUUCUUGGAUUUAUUGAAGACUAACUACUGCGAAAGCAUUUGCCAAGGAUGUUUUCAUUAAUCAAGAACGAAAGUUAGGGGAUCGAAGACGAUCAGAUACCGUCGUAGUCUUAACCAUAAACUAUGCCGACUAGGGAUCGGAUGAUGUUAAUUUUUUAAUGACUCAUUCGGCGCCUUACGGGAAACCAAAGUGUUUGGG